RNAcentral lists this ribosomal RNA (253 nucleotides) under uncultured bacterium. RNAcentral's name for it is "partial 16S ribosomal RNA". It matches the Rfam family "Bacterial small subunit ribosomal RNA", at positions 524 to 776 of the family's 1533-position model. The record is from RNAcentral.
UACGAAGGGGGCUAGCGUUGCUCGGAAUCACUGGGCGUAAAGCGCACGUAGGCGGAUUGUUAAGUCAGGGGUGAAAUCCUGGAGCUCAACUCCAGAACUGCCUUUGAUACUGACGAUCUCGAGUCCGGGAGAGGUGAGUGGAACUGCGAGUGUAGAGGUGAAAUUCGUAGAUAUUCGCAAGAACACCAGUGGCGAAGGCGGCUCACUGGCCCGGUACUGACGCUGAGGUGCGAAAGCGUGGGGAGCAAACGGG